RNAcentral lists this transfer RNA (71 nucleotides) under Loxodonta africana (African savanna elephant). It matches the Rfam family "tRNA". From Rfam's summary of the family: Transfer RNA (tRNA) molecules are approximately 80 nucleotides in length. Lineage: Eukaryota; Metazoa; Chordata; Mammalia; Proboscidea; Elephantidae. The record is from Rfam by way of RNAcentral.
UCAUGUAUGGUUCAGUGGUAGAAUUCUCACCUUCCAUGUGGGAGACUUGGGUUCGAUUCCUGGUCAAUGCA